This is an RNA transcript of Zea mays, 1031 nucleotides long. RefSeq lists it as uncharacterized. The transcript is spliced from 7 exons. NCBI's taxonomy places the organism in Eukaryota, Viridiplantae, Streptophyta, Magnoliopsida, Poales, Poaceae. The record is from RefSeq and is marked validated.
CAAAUUUCUCUUUCCUUGGCGUUGCCGCCCCACCAACAGGACAAGACAGCAGCCGCUGCCGUUGCCGCUGCCGCUGCCGGCUGCCGCUACCUAUGCUCAAGUGCUCAGUGCUCACCGCUCUGCCCCUGCCUCAUCACACGCGCGCACGGCGCACAGAUACCUUUUCUCUCCUCUCCCGUCCCACUCUCCUGGGCAAUCCCGGCCCGGCAUGGCGAGCCCGUCCUCGUCCCCCUCGCGGAAGGCUCUGAGCAAGAUCGCCUGCAGCCGCCUGCAGAAGGAGCUCGCGGAGUGGCAGGUCAACCCGCCCGCGGGCUUCAAGCACAGGGUCACCGACGACCUCCAGAGGUGGGUCAUCGAUGUAGCGGGGGCAGCAGGCACGCUCUACACUGGCGAAACCUACAAGUUGCAGGUGGAUUUCCCCGAGCAUUAUCCGAUGGAGGCACCUCAGGUUAUAUUUCUGCAUCCAGCACCGAUGCAUCCACACAUUUACAGCAAUGGACACAUCUGUUUAGAUUGGUCCACUGGCUAUGCCAAGAAAUUCCUAGAAAUAUUACUAACUAACCAUGAUUCCAUGAGAUGGCAACUAUCACUGGCCCCUUAAGAUAUACUGUAUGACUCGUGGUCCCCAGCGAUGACUGUCAGUUCUAUCUGUAUCAGCAUAUUAUCUAUGCUGUCCAGCUCGCCAGAAAAGCAACGCCCAGCUGAUAAUGAUCGCUAUGUCAAGAACUGUCGCAAUGGGAGGUCUCCGAAAGAGACCAGGUGGUGGUUCCAUGAUGACACCGUGUGAUCGGUGUUCCGAUUAUUGUUGUCCUGUAUGCAUUUAGUUGCCAGACUAUGGGAGAUGGACUUAUUUCGAACGACCCAUUUGACCAGAAAUUAACAUGCUCUUGUGGUUUGUAGAUGAAUGUGCAUCAGCGUCAGGCCUGUACUUUCUGAUUCUUACACCGUCGAUGAUAUAUAGAAUAAUGUUUGUAUCUUGUCAAUUUACGGAACAGACAUGAAAUUCAAUGCAGGUCACUGGUUUCUGAAUC